UGUUCUAACUACAUCAAUCUAGACUGCUGAUAGGAUGGAAAGUCACAAAAGUCUAAAAAUCCCAAAGAGAACUUGCACAAGCACUAAAAGACCGUUGGGGCUCAAACCCCAUUUGGCACCUAACCUCCAGUCUCCUCCAGAUCAAAACCGCUGGCAUGAGCUAAAGAGUGACGUAGAUAUGAAUCUAAUUUAAGAAAUGUUG
RNAcentral lists this unclassified non-coding RNA (202 nucleotides) under Hevea brasiliensis (rubber tree). Lineage: Eukaryota; Viridiplantae; Streptophyta; Magnoliopsida; Malpighiales; Euphorbiaceae. The record is from RNAcentral.